This 239-nucleotide long non-coding RNA is filed under the name Ananas comosus (pineapple). Its description in RNAcentral is "long non-coding RNA (ACOM_LNC036575)". Lineage: Eukaryota; Viridiplantae; Streptophyta; Magnoliopsida; Poales; Bromeliaceae. The record is from RNAcentral.
AAAUUUAAAAAUUAAAAUUUAAAAAUUCAAAAAUGAAUCUGAAAAUUAAAAUUUAAAAUUAAAUUUAAAUUUAAAUAUUGAAUUUAAAAUUAAAAUAAAAAUUUGAAGUUUGAGUCCAAAAUCAGAAUCAGAUUUCAAGAAGCAGCUUUUUUCUGCUUCUUAUUCUGGGGCCUUCAAAAUCAGUUUUCUGAUUCUAAAAAAUAGAAUCAGAUUUUAAAAUUGAGGUUGUCAAACGCUCU